GCAAGUCGACGAAGUAGCAAUACUUAGUGGCAGACGGGUGAGUAACAUGUGGGUAUCUACCCUUUGGCCUGGAAUAACACGAGGAAACUUGUGCUAAUACCGGAUAAGUCUUUACGGAGAAAGCUUUAUGCACCAUUGGAUGAGCCCGCACUUGAUUAGUUUGUUGGUAGGGUAAUGGCCUACCAAGACUAUGAUCAAUAGCUGAUUUGAGAGGAUGAUCAGCCACAUUGGGACUGAGACACGGCCCAAACUCCUACGGGAGGCAGCAGUGGGGAAUCUUGCACAAUGGAGGAAACUCUGAUGCAGCGAUGCCGCGUGAGUGAAGAAGGCCUUUGGGUUGUAAAGCUCUUUCGUCGGGGAAGAAAAUGACUGUACCCGAAUAAGAAGGUCCGGCUAACUUCGUGCCAGCAGCCGCGGUAAUACGAAGGGACCUAGCGUAGUUCGGAAUUACUGGGCUUAAAGAGUUCGUAGGUGGUUGAAAAAGUUGGUGGUGAAAUCCCAGAGCUUAACUCUGGAACUGCCAUCAAAACUUUUUAGCUAGAGUAUGAUAGAGGAAAGCAGAAUUUCUAGUGUAGAGGUGAAAUUC
This 586-nucleotide ribosomal RNA is filed under the name uncultured bacterium. RNAcentral describes it as "bacterial SSU rRNA". It matches the Rfam family "Bacterial small subunit ribosomal RNA", at positions 57 to 689 of the family's 1533-position model. The record is from RNAcentral.